AUUAUUUCACAUUGACAGGUGGUCCCCUGCCAGCAGGACACCAUGAAAUAUUGCCUUUUGGGUGCAGUCUAAGGAACCUUGGGAAGUGCUGGCCCUUCCCUCUCUGCUCAGUGGAAGGCAACGGGACCAAAGUGGGGCCCUGACCACCCAAGGUCACACUGUGUCCCAGCAGAGCCUGCGUGGGCACCAGGUCACUUGUGCCCCAACCUGGAGGUCACCCCAAGCCAUCGCUCUCCUAAGGGUCUCUGGGAAAAGUCCCGGCCGGCCGUGGGAGUCCCCUCAGGCCAGGGAGCGCCCCACCCUUUCCGCGUGGCCUCUGCAGGACAUUACCUCAUCCCUCAUGGGGCGGCUCGGCCCCUGGCCAACAGAUUGCGUUGCAAAUACGCUUCCUGCUCCUCCAGCUCCGGACGGGGAACACCAAGCCGGCCGGGAGGCAGCAGGUCCCACACCUCAGCCUCCACCAGAGCCAUCCUGGAUGUGGCCGAGAGCCCUUCGUAGGCAGUGAACGGUGGAUACGGCGACGGACAAGAUGGAGGUGGCCCCUCUGCUCAAGGGCCUUCUAGAGUGAGAAGCCAGGAAGGAAAAACAGCACAAGACGGGGAAACAGACGGCCUGAGGUUCACUGGUCUGGGCUCACGCUGGAACCCUGUCUCCUCUUACCUCCCGCUUCCGAGGGACGUAUAAACGCAGACGCCCACAGUGUCGGCAGCCUGGUCCCUGGGCAGACCCCUGCGGGCCCCUGCUCCUGUCCUGCCCCCACCCCAGGCCCUUCUCAGCACAGCCCCCGGGGGCCCUAGCACAGCUACACGUUUCUGCUCAAAACACCCAAAUCCCACGAAGGGCCGCACAUCCCUACGUGGCGGCGAGGCUGCCGUUCCCAGUCUGUCCUGGUCCCCACCACUCACCCUUGCACCUGCCUCCUCGGGCCUUCGCGCAGCGGCCUCGGGGCCUUUGCACUGGCUGUCCCCUCUGCCUGGGCCACUGUUUCCUCAGAUGGCCGCGUGGCACUUCCCCCACUUUCUCAAGUCUUAAAGGAGCCACCCUUGACCCCUUCAUUUCGAUUGCCCUUCCCCCACCUGCCUUUCCUGCUGGUUUUCUCUCUGAUAGCCAUCACAUGCAGGUCGUGGGAUUCGCUUCUUUAUGUUGCUUGCUGUCUUUCCCCCUGGACGAGGAUGUCAGCUCCGUGAGGGCAGAAAGUGUCAUUUGUCGCCUUCACUGUCGGAUGCCCAGCACCUAGAACAAUGCCCGGCGCUCAGCAAUAGUUAUCGGUCAUUGAUUAUUCAGUCAAUAGAAUGUUUCUGACAAGGAAUUCUUUUGUUUCUCCUCAACACUUGGCAAACAUUUUCUGUAAUGGACCAGAGAGUAAAUAUUUUCGGCUCGGUCCUGCGGUCUCUGUUGAAACUAACCGACUCUGCCGUUGAGAAGCGAAGCAGCCAGAGGCAGUGCGCCCAUGAAUGCGCACAGCCCGGUUCCAAUAAAACUUUAUUCACAAAAUCAGGGGCCUUCUGCUCCCUGCCCCAAAUUUCGGCGCCAUUCAUAAGCUUCCAAGGCCGUUAGGGCAUUCGCAGCCCUCAGCUCUUCAUCUGCUGAGUCCCCAAGGAGGGGACUGUCCAGGAAAAGACUGUCCCCACUCUGAAGUGGCAAAGGUGAGGCCCAGGAGAGUCAGUGGGGGCACAGGCCCACAGCUAGAAGGUGGGGAGCCCUCCCCUCUUUCUCCCCUCCCUAUCUGACUUCUGGCCCACAGGUAUUACCAAAACACCUGCCCUUUGCUCCCUCUCCCCUGGAAUUCCGCUCAAGCCCUCACACAUGGCCCUCACCCCUCGUGCGCCCUGAGCCCACUCUGUCCUCAGGGUGGAUCUGCCUGGUCCCCCAGAGCUUCCAGGGGAGAUGCCGUGUCCUGAGCCUCAGAAGGAAUGUCUGGUUCAUACACGAACUGCUGUUAAGUCCAUGAGGUCUCCUGGCCAAUGCUGAGGCCACUCUGAGGCUGGGCCCUGUGACGCGGAAAAGCCCCGAGUUCCAUGCUGAACACAACUAGCCUUUGCACAGCGCACGUCUUCCUACCUGCCUCACACCGCGGGGUCCCAAGCGCCACCACUGCCGUUAUAGCUGAGGACACUGAGGCUCGGAGAGGUGAGGUAAGGAGUCUGUGGCUACAGGCAGAACACCAUGUGGGCAACGUCUGUCCCCAGAGAUCACCUCACUGUGUGCCUCUGAAGGAAGGCUCCCCAGAGAAGGAUCCCUGCUGGGUUUUGAGGGAUGAAUAGAAGUUCAGCAAAGGUGAAAAGGAAAACGGCACAAGGCACGUGGGCUGCACUGGGUCUGCAGACGACCGUAGGUGGUAGGAGCCUGUGGAAGCACAGGCUGGGAAAAGAAUGCAAGGAAGCAUCCAAACAUCAUCCCGGACUCUACCCAUGAAAUAGAAUGAAGGUGACCAGCCGUCAGGUGGUUCAGGCGGAAGCCCACCCCCCGCUUCACGUCCUGGAGGUUUGCAGCCAGAGGCUGACCUGGCGUUCCCAGGCAGACGCGGCAGACCAUUUGCCUCAUCCCCUGCUUUGCAGCCCAAGGUUUGGCAGUUUACCUGCUGGGAGGUGCUGAUGGGGACACCGCUGUUAGGAGCACAUCCCAGCCUCCAGACACACUUCACUCACGUGGCUUUAACGCGAGCUCCAGGAACGGCUGUGGUCAGGCUCUGGGUUGGGUGCACAGAAACCUACUCUCACUCGCUCCAGCACAAGGGGUGUGGUUACCAGCAGGCAAAGGGAAGCUCGCAGGCAUCGUGUUCCCCUCAGAUGGAGAUGCUGGAGUCCUAACCCCCAGAACCUCAGAACGCGACCUUAAUAGGAAAUGGGGUCUUGACAGAGGCAAUCAAGUCAAAAUGAGGUCACGAGGAUGGGCCGUCGUCCGAUGCGACUGUACCCUGAUGAAAAGGGGACAUUUGGACAGAGAGUCAUGCAGAGGGAAGUGGUCCAUGCAAAGAAGGAGGAUGGGAGGGAAGUGUCCACAGGCUGAAGAACAGCAAGGCCCAGCAAGCCACCAGAAGCCGGAAGAGGCAGGAGGGACCCCUCCUGACAGGCUUCCGAGGACGGCGUCCCUGCAAUGCCUUGAUUUCAGACCUUUGUACUCCAGAUCGUGAGGAUGAAUUUAUCAUGUUGGGCUAAGCCGCCCAGUUAAGGGUCCUUUGUUCAGGCAGCCCCAGGAGACUCAUACAACAGGUCGCCUCGCACUGAAGUUGAAGGCCGCUGGAUGUCAGGGGAUCUGGGAACGCCGGGGUUUCACAGGGCCCUUCUUCUCUGCUUCUCUCUCCACCUCACUCCCCUCCGCCGUUUUUCUGAAGACGGGAUUCUCUGCUCAUCCUCAGGGCGCGCACAGCCCAGGGUGGGUGCCGGGUCCUGACCAGCCACGAGCUGUCUGCGAAAGCUCCCGACUCCUCCAUCGCCGAUCGUCUCUGUGUCUCUUAGUUCAGAUUCCUAAAGAACCAGCCUGAGAGGCCCCUGGUCAGCCCCAGCGGUCAGCGGGGUCACGGGCCCCUCCGUUGCCCAGCUAGCCUUGGUCAGGGAGGAGGGCGGGUCGUAUGCCGCGGAGCACCAGCGUUGGGGCUGGAGACCUGGCCUUUCCUCUGCGCCAAUCUGCUACACCGACGUGUUCCCGCCGCCGGUGUCUUGCUGGUGACCAUCUGGUGACGACCAGACCCCUCUGCGGUGGAUGGACGGCCGGCCCAUGCACUAUUUGGGAUGUAGCAAAAAUUAUUUGCUGUUUAUCUGAAAUUCAAAUUUACCUGGGCAUCCCGGACUUCCCUGUUUUGCUAAGUCUGGAACCCUGCUGCCGGCUGAGGUUGGGAACUCCUGGCCGACCCCCAGAGGCCGGGGGCUCACGCCUGAGCGCUCUCAGCACUUCUACUUCUGGGAACUUCUGCUCAGGAAACGUUCCAGCCAAGUGCAAAGAUGACCCAUCAGGACGUCCACCCCGGCAUAUGGGUUAACACAGCAGGAGGCUGGCCGCAGCCUGACCCUCUGUGGAUACCGCGGGAAUCAUCUGUGUGGUGGCAUCGCCGGACAGCUUCAAAAGUGACCGUAAUGUAUCGAGCGUCCGUCUGGCCAGUGGGUCUGGGGCCAGAGCAGAGGGAAGAGCUGUGACCACUGGGCAUGCUGAGUUGACAUCACAGACGGGGCAUUGCCCACAGGAGCUUGGCCGGACCAGGGACAGCAGGCAGCGCUGGGGGCCUCCCCGGCCUGGCCCACGCCCAGCUCAGGGCAGCAGAGCCCGAGUCUGCGGGGCUCCCAGGGCCAUUGCUACACUCCAUGCCCAGUCUUCACCCACUGGAGCUCUCCUCGGCAGACGCCCUCACUCCAUCCCAUUGCCCCCAACCUGGGGGACCUCAGGGCAGGGAGUACCGUGAGGUAGUUCCCAUCUCUUGAGGUCAUGCUGCGCCCCAUUUUCUCUUCCAGGCAGCCCUCAGCACUGUGAUUACCCUCGUUUCACACAUGUGAUCUGAGAUGCCCCAGUGCUUAUCGGCUGGACGCCCACAACGUGACAUUCCCUCCUUCCCAUUCCACUGUCAAGCGGCAGAACCUGAGCUGGGCACGGGGCCAUCGGGCCACACACCGCAUUUCCCAGACUCCCUUGCAACAAGCCACAGCCAUGAAACAUCUCCCAUCGUCUUCCUUCCUCCUUCCCCACCUGGUCCCCGAUGGAAGCUACUUCAUGAGGACAUCCGAGCAGGAAGGCUCGGAAAAAGCCCAGUUAGUCCUGGCUGCCCGUCUGGCCCUUUUCGUGAGAAACCAAUUUCAAGAUUGAGCCACCGGAUUUUCAAGUGACUUCGUUAUGCAGCGGCUGUCUACUGACGAAUCCAGCAUCCCUCAGCUCGUCAAGCUGGGGCGCGCACAUCCGUCAUCACGGUGCAGCCCACCUCCGGAUACGCCACUGGGGCAGAUGGAUCCUGGGUGUCUCGCCAGCAAAGCGAGUGUGCUGCGGGCUUCCGAGCACUGUGAUUUGGUUGGCUCUGGGCUCUCCAUACCCAGCCCAGGACCUGGUCCAGGACAGGUGACGGGCAUUGCCUGAGAGCCUCGGAAGCGGACCUGAGCGGGCACUUGGGGAGGAAAAGAAUGCGGAAAACAACCAAUGUUUAUUGAGUGCCAAAGGGUCAGGGUGCUGGGCCAGGCCCUUCAGUGUGCAAACUUGAAUCGUUUAUUAUUAUUAUUUAUUAUCUUUGAUCCGCUCAGUUAUUUCUUUACCUAGAAGGGAUGGGACACUGGGCGAGGCACUUUCCACAUUGUCUAGGUUGCUUUAUCUUGAACAACUUUAUUGAGACCUAAUUCACAUACCUUACCAUUUACCCAUUUGAAGUGUGCCAUUCAGUGGUGUUCAGUACAUUCAGAGUGUAUUUGUCAUCGUGAUCAAUGUUUGAACAUUUUCCUUACCCCCUCCUCCCCCCGCCAAAGAAGCACCACACCUGUAACUGCCACCCCCCAAAUCCUGGCCCCUGGCAACGCUAGCCUACCUUCCGUCUCAAUGGAUUUGCCCUG
Long non-coding RNA from Hipposideros armiger (great roundleaf bat), 5522 nucleotides. RefSeq lists it as uncharacterized. The transcript has 5 exons. The record is from RefSeq and is a predicted model, not a curated record. NCBI's taxonomy places the organism in Eukaryota, Metazoa, Chordata, Mammalia, Chiroptera, Hipposideridae.